This 250-nucleotide ribosomal RNA is filed under the name Haemophilus influenzae. Its description in RNAcentral is "partial 23S ribosomal RNA". It matches the Rfam family "Bacterial large subunit ribosomal RNA", at positions 456 to 712 of the family's 2925-position model. Lineage: Bacteria; Pseudomonadati; Pseudomonadota; Gammaproteobacteria; Pasteurellales; Pasteurellaceae. The record is from RNAcentral.
UCCUCCAAGGCUAAAUACUCCUGAUUGACCGAUAGUGAACCAGUACUGUGAAGGAAAGGCGAAAAGAACCCCGGUGAGGGGAGUGAAAUAGAACCUGAAACCUUGUACGUACAAGCAGUGGGGGCCCGAAAGGGUGACUGCGUACCUUUUGUAUAAUGGGUCAGCGACUUAUAUUUUGUAGCGAGGUUAACCGAAUAGGGGAGCCGAAGGGAAACCGAGUCUUAACUGGGCGACUAGUUGCAAGGUAUAG